This 1200-nucleotide ribosomal RNA is filed under the name uncultured organism. RNAcentral describes it as "bacterial SSU rRNA". It matches the Rfam family "Bacterial small subunit ribosomal RNA", at positions 108 to 1284 of the family's 1533-position model. The record is from RNAcentral.
GAGUAGCGCGUGAGAAACCUGCCUCUCAGUUGGGGACAACACUUCUAACGAGGUGCUAAUACCGAAUACAAUCUUUUCUUUGCAUGGAGAAUUGAUGAAAGGCGGCCUCUGCUUGCAAGCUGUCGCUGAGAGAUGGUCUCGCGUCCCAUUAGCUAGUUGGUGAGGUAACGGCUCACCAAGGCGAUGAUGGGUAGCCGGCCUUAGCGGGUGACCGGCCACACUGGGACUGAGAUACGGCCCAGACUCCUACGGGAGGCAGCAGUCGAGAGGCAUCCACAAUGGGGGAAACCCCGAUGGUGCGACGCCGCGUGGGUGAUUAAGGUCUUCGGAUCGUAAAGCCCUUUCGGCAAGGAUGAAUCCUGGGGUGUUAAUAGCAUCCUUCGGAGGACAGUACUUGUAGAAGAAGCUCCGGCUAACUCCGUGCCAGCAGCCGCGGUAAGACGGGGGGAGCGAGCGUUGUUCGGAUUUACUGGGCGUAAAGGGCGUCUAGGCGGAUUUUCAAGUCAGGUGUGAAAUCCCACGGCUCAACCGUGGAACUGCACUUGAUACUGUUAAUCUUGAGUACGGAAGAGGAAAGCGGAAUUCCUGGUGUAGCGGUGAAAUGCGUAGAUAUCAGGAAGAACACCGGUGGCGAAGGCGGCUUUCUGGUCCGAUACUGACGCUAAAGCGCGAAAGUGUGGGGAGCAAACAGGAUUAGAUACCCUGGUAGUCCACACCGUAAACGAUGGAUACUAGGUGUCGGGGGUCCGACCCCUCCGGUGCCGCAGUUAACGCAUUAAGUAUCCCGCCUGGGGAGUACGAUCGCAAGGUUGAAACUCAAAGGAAUUGACGGGGACCCGCACAAGCGGUGGAGCAUGUUGCUUAAUUCGACGCAACGCGAAGAACCUUACCGGGGCUUGACGUGUACCGGAAGGGUGUAGAGAUACAUUCCGCUCUUCGGAGCUGGUACAUCAGGUGCUGCACGGCUGUCGUCAGCUCGUGUCGUGAGAUGUUGGGUUAAGUCCUCUAACGAGCGCAACCCCUAUCCAUAGUUGCCAUCAGGUAAAGCUGGGCACUCUCCGGAGACUGUCGGUGACAAACCGGAGGAAGGUGGGGAUGACGUCAAGUCAUCGUGGCCCUUACGUCCCGGGCUGCAAACCUGUUACAAUGGCUGGUCAAAGGGAAGCAAUGCCGCGAGGUGGAGCAAAUCCCAAAAAGCCA